GUGAGGAAUAUUGGUCAAUGGGCGGGAGCCUGAACCAGCCAAGUCGCGUGAAGGAAGAAGGAUCUAUGGUUCGUAAACUUCUUUUGCAGGGGAAUAAAGUGCAGGACGUGUCCUGGUUUGUAUGUACCCUGAGAAUAAGGAUCGGCUAACUCCGUGCCAGCAGCCGCGGUAAUACGGAGGAUCCGACCGUUAUCCGGAUGUAUUGGGUUUAAAGGGGUCGUCGGUGGUUUGAUAAGUCAGCGGUGAAAGUUUGCAGCUUAACUGUAAAAUUGCCGUUGAAACUGUAGAUCUUGAGUGCAAAUGAGGUAAGCGGAAUGUGUUGUGUAGCGGUGAAAUGCUUAGAUAUAACACAGAACACCGAUUGCGAAGGCAGCUUACUGGACUGUAACUGACGCUGAGGCGCGAAAGUGUGGGGAGCAAACAGGAUUAGAUACCCCUGUAGUCC
Molecule: ribosomal RNA, 445 nt
Filed under: uncultured bacterium
Lineage: Bacteria
Description: partial 16S ribosomal RNA
Rfam family: Bacterial small subunit ribosomal RNA
Source: RNAcentral